RNAcentral lists this ribosomal RNA (215 nucleotides) under Staphylococcus aureus. RNAcentral's name for it is "partial 23S ribosomal RNA". It matches the Rfam family "Bacterial large subunit ribosomal RNA", at positions 2223 to 2437 of the family's 2925-position model. Lineage: Bacteria; Bacillati; Bacillota; Bacilli; Caryophanales; Staphylococcaceae. The record is from RNAcentral.
UAACCCGCACCACUUAUCGUGGUGGGAGACAGUGUCAGGCGGGCAGUUUGACUGGGGCGGUCGCCUCCUAAAAGGUAACGGAGGCGCCCAAAGGUUCCCUCAGAAUGGUUGGAAAUCAUUCAUAGAGGGUAAAGGCAUAAGGGAGCUUGACUGCGAGACCUACAAGUCGAGCAGGGUCGAAAGACGGACUUAGUGAUCCGGUGGUUCCGCAUGGA